Molecule: non-coding RNA, 18 nt
Filed under: Arabidopsis thaliana (thale cress)
Lineage: Eukaryota; Viridiplantae; Streptophyta; Magnoliopsida; Brassicales; Brassicaceae
Source: RNAcentral
AGGCAACGCAGCAGCUAC